GUCUCUAUGGCUCAGUUGGAAGAGCGUUGGUCUCAUAUUAUUACCUAAUUGAUUGUUAUGACUCAGCUUGAAGCCUGGGACAUCCAAAGAUCGCAAGUUCGAGCUUUGCCAGGGACA
Transfer RNA from Colletotrichum salicis, 117 nucleotides. It matches the Rfam family "tRNA". From Rfam's summary of the family: Transfer RNA (tRNA) molecules are approximately 80 nucleotides in length. Their secondary structure includes four short double-helical elements and three loops (D, anti-codon, and T loops). NCBI's taxonomy places the organism in Eukaryota, Fungi, Ascomycota, Sordariomycetes, Glomerellales, Glomerellaceae. The record is from Rfam.